RNAcentral lists this ribosomal RNA (219 nucleotides) under uncultured bacterium. RNAcentral describes it as "partial 16S ribosomal RNA". It matches the Rfam family "Bacterial small subunit ribosomal RNA", at positions 118 to 335 of the family's 1533-position model. The record is from RNAcentral.
UGAGCAAUCUGCCCUUCACAUCGGAAUAACCAUUGGAAACGAUGGCUAAUACCGAAUAUGACUUCGGAUCGCAUGAUCUGAAGUGGAAAGCUCCGGCGGUGAAGGAUGAGCUCGCGGCCUAUCAGCUUGUUGGUGAGGUAAUAGCUCACCAAGGCGAUGGACGGGUAGCCGGCCUGAGAGGGUGACCCGGCCACACGUGGGACUGAGACACGGNUCACG